Monodelphis domestica (gray short-tailed opossum) is the source of this 86-nucleotide microRNA precursor. Ensembl annotates it as mdo-mir-29b-1. Its record names the gene mdo-mir-29b-1. The record is from Ensembl. Lineage: Eukaryota; Metazoa; Chordata; Mammalia; Didelphimorphia; Didelphidae.
GCUUCUUCAGGAAGCUGGUUUCAUAUGGUGGUUUAGAUUUAACUACUGAGUGUCUAGCACCAUUUGAAAUCAGUGUUCUUGGAGGA